ACGCUGGCUACAGGCUUAACACAUGCAAGUCGAGGGGAAACGGCGUUGAGUGCUCGCACUCUUCGGACGUCGACCGGCGCACGGGUGAGUAACGCGUAUCCAACCUUCCCGUCACUGCGGGAUAACCUGCCGAAAGGCAGACUAAUACCGCAUGGCCUUCACUGACGGCAUCCGAGGUGAAGUAAAGCUUUUUUGCGGUGACGGACGGGGAUGCGUCUGAUUAGCUGGUUGGCGGGGCGACGGCCCACCAAGGCGACGAUCAGUAGGGGUUCUGAGAGGAAGGUCCCCCACAUUGGAACUGAGACACGGUCCAAACUCCUACGGGAGGCAGCAGUGAGGAAUAUUGGUCAAUGGGCGGAAGCCUGAACCAGCCAAGUAGCGUGCAGGAGGACGGCCCUACGGGUUGUAAACUGCUUUUAUGCGGGGAUAAAGUGAGGGACGCGUCCCUUUUUGCAGGUACCGCAUGAAUAAGGACCGGCUAAUUCCGUGCCAGCAGCCGCGGUAAUACGGAAGGUCCGGGCGUUAUCCGGAUUUAUUGGGUUUAAAGGGAGCGUAGGCCGGGGAUUAAGUGUGUUGUGAAAUGUAGGCGCUCAACGUCUGAUGUGCAGCGCAUACUGGUCCCCUUGAGUACGCGCAACGCCGGCGGAAUUCGUCGUGUAGCGGUGAAAUGCUUAGAUAUGACGAAGAACCCCGAUUGCGAAGGCAGCCGGCGGGAGCGCAACUGACGCUGAAGCUCGAAGGUGCGGGUAUCGAACAGGAUUAGAUACCCUGGUAGUCCGCACGGUAAACGAUGGAUGCCCGCUCUCGGCGCCUGGCGCCGGGGGCCAAGCGAAAGCGUUAAGCAUCCCACCUGGGGAGUACGCCGGCAACGGUGAAACUCAAAGGAAUUGACGGGGGCCCGCACAAGCGG
Molecule: ribosomal RNA, 910 nt
Filed under: uncultured bacterium
Lineage: Bacteria
Description: bacterial SSU rRNA
Rfam family: Bacterial small subunit ribosomal RNA
Source: RNAcentral